GUGGGGAAUAUUGGACAAUGGGCGAAAGCCUGAUCCAGCCAUGCCGCGUGUGUGAAGAAGGUCUUCGGAUUGUAAAGCACUUUAAGUUGGGAGGAAGGGCAGUAAGUUAAUACCUUGCUGUUUUGACGUUACCGACAGAAUAAGCACCGGCUAACUUCGUGCCAGCAGCCGCGGUAAUACGAAGGGUGCAAGCGUUAAUCGGAAUUACUGGGCGUAAAGCGCGCGUAGGUGGUUUUGUAAGUUGGAGGUGAAAUCCCCGGGCUCAACCUUGGAACUGCAUCCAAAACUGCAUGACUAGAGUACGGUAGAGGGUAGAGGAAUUUCCUGUGUAGCGGUGAAAUGCGUAGAUAUAGGAAGGAACACCAGUGGCGAAGGAGACUACCUGGACUGAUACUGACACUGAGGUGCGAAAGCGUGGGGAGCAAACAGGAUUAGAAACCCUUGUAGUCC
This 450-nucleotide ribosomal RNA is filed under the name uncultured bacterium. Its description in RNAcentral is "bacterial SSU rRNA". It matches the Rfam family "Bacterial small subunit ribosomal RNA", at positions 354 to 796 of the family's 1533-position model. The record is from RNAcentral.